MicroRNA precursor from Carlito syrichta (Philippine tarsier), 93 nucleotides. The record is from Ensembl. NCBI's taxonomy places the organism in Eukaryota, Metazoa, Chordata, Mammalia, Primates, Tarsiidae.
GUUCUAUUAUUUGCAGUCAGUAACAAAGAUUCAUCCCUGUGUUCAUUAUGCAACAAAGAGAAUCUUCAUUACCUAGUGUAAUUAAUAGCUGGA